UAGCCAUGAUGUGGACAGGAAUUUGUGACAUCCUUGAAUCGCUCCCAACAUUGGAAGGUCUCAUCUUCUUUUUGCACAAAAUUCAUGAUUACUUUCCUUAAGGUA
Molecule: small nucleolar RNA, 105 nt
Organism: Magnolia sinica
Lineage: Eukaryota; Viridiplantae; Streptophyta; Magnoliopsida; Magnoliales; Magnoliaceae
Source: RefSeq, a predicted model, not a curated record